RNAcentral lists this ribosomal RNA (345 nucleotides) under uncultured bacterium. RNAcentral's name for it is "bacterial SSU rRNA". It matches the Rfam family "Bacterial small subunit ribosomal RNA", at positions 30 to 372 of the family's 1533-position model. The record is from RNAcentral.
AUUGAACGCUGGCGGCAUGCUUUACACAUGCAAGUCGAACGGCAGCACGGGAGCUUGCUCCUGGUGGCGAGUGGCGAACGGGUGAGUAAUGCAUCGGAACGUACCCAGUAGUGGGGGAUAGCCCGGCGAAAGCCGGAUUAAUACCGCAUAUUUCCUGAGGGAGAAAGCGGGGGGACCUUCGGGCCUCGCGCUACUGGAGCGGCUGAUGUCGGAUUAGCUAGUUGGUGAGGUAAAGGCUCACCAAGGCGACGAUCCGUAGCUGGUCUGAGAGGAUGAUCAGCCACACUGGGACUGAGACACGGCCCAGACUCCUACGGGAGGCAGCAGUGGGGAAUUUUGGACAAU